Non-coding RNA from Aedes albopictus (Asian tiger mosquito), 120 nucleotides. Lineage: Eukaryota; Metazoa; Arthropoda; Insecta; Diptera; Culicidae. The record is from Rfam.
UGCCCAGCAACUCCUAUUCCUACCUCCUCGUGGUACCGGCUGGAAACUACGAGCAACCUUAGGGAAGAUCGGAUAACCAACCCCGGUGGGAACUUUGGUCCUAGGCUGACAGGGAACAGG